UACGUAGGUGGCGAGCGUUAUCCGGAUUUACUGGGCGUAAAGGGAGCGUAGGCGGAUGAUUAAGUGGGAUGUGAAAUACCCGGGCUCAACUUGGGUGCUGCAUUCCAAACUGGUUAUCUAGAGUGCAGGAGAGGAGAGUGGAAUUCCUAGUGUAGCGGUGAAAUGCGUAGAGAUUAGGAAGAACACCAGUGGCGAAGGCGACUCUCUGGACUGUAACUGACGCUGAGGCUCGAAAGCGUGGGGAGCAAACAGGAUUAGAAACCCGAGUAGUCC
RNAcentral lists this ribosomal RNA (273 nucleotides) under uncultured prokaryote. RNAcentral's name for it is "partial 16S ribosomal RNA". It matches the Rfam family "Bacterial small subunit ribosomal RNA", at positions 524 to 796 of the family's 1533-position model. The record is from RNAcentral.